RNAcentral lists this ribosomal RNA (279 nucleotides) under uncultured bacterium. RNAcentral describes it as "partial 16S ribosomal RNA". It matches the Rfam family "Bacterial small subunit ribosomal RNA", at positions 506 to 784 of the family's 1533-position model. The record is from RNAcentral.
UGCCAGCAGCCGCGGUAAUACGAAGGGAGCUAGCGUUGUUCGGAAUUACUGGGCGUAAAGCGCACGUAGGCGGACUAAUUAGUCAGGGGUGAAAUCCCGGGGCUCAACCCCGGAACUGCCUUUGAUACUGUUAGUCUAGAGAUCGAGAGAGGUGAGUGGAAUUCCGAGUGUAGAGGUGAAAUUCGUAGAUAUUCGGAGGAACACCAGUGGCGAAGGCGGCUCACUGGCUCGAUACUGACGCUGAGGUGCGAAAGCGUGGGGAGCAAACAGGAUUAGAUA